RNAcentral lists this ribosomal RNA (468 nucleotides) under uncultured bacterium. RNAcentral describes it as "partial 16S ribosomal RNA". It matches the Rfam family "Bacterial small subunit ribosomal RNA", at positions 28 to 507 of the family's 1533-position model. The record is from RNAcentral.
GACGAACGCUGGCGGCGUGCUUAACACAUGCAAGUCGAACGGAAAGGCCCUGCUUUUGUGGGGUGCUCGAGUGGCGAACGGGUGAGUAACACGUGAGUAACCUGCCCUUGACUUUGGGAUAACUUCAGGAAACUGGGGCUAAUACCGGAUAGGAGCUCCUGCUGCAUGGUGGGGGUUGGAAAGUUUCGGCGGUUGGGGAUGGACUCGCGGCUUAUCAGCUUGUUGGUGGGGUAGUGGCUUACCAAGGCUUUGACGGGUAGCCGGCCUGAGAGGGUGACCGGCCACAUUGGGACUGAGAUACGGCCCAGACUCCUACGGGAGGCAGCAGGGGGGAAUAUUGCCCAAUGGGCGGAAGCCUGAUGCAGAAACGCCGCGUGCGGGAUGACGGCCUUCGGGUUGUAAACCGCUUUCGCCUGUGACGAAGCGUGAGUGACGGUAAUGGGUAAAGAAGCACCGGCUAACUACGUG